RNAcentral lists this transfer RNA (90 nucleotides) under Thermofilum adornatum 1505. RNAcentral describes it as "Thermofilum adornatus 1505 tRNA-Thr". It matches the Rfam family "tRNA". Rfam says of the family: Transfer RNA (tRNA) molecules are approximately 80 nucleotides in length. Their secondary structure includes four short double-helical elements and three loops (D, anti-codon, and T loops). Further hydrogen bonds mediate the characteristic L-shaped molecular structure. tRNAs have two regions of fundamental functional importance: the anti-codon, which is responsible for specific mRNA codon recognition, and the 3' end, to which the tRNAs corresponding amino acid is attached (by aminoacyl-tRNA synthetases). tRNAs cope with the degeneracy of the genetic code in two manners: having more than one tRNA (with a specific anti-codon) for a particular amino acid; and 'wobble' base-pairing, i.e. permitting non-standard base-pairing at the 3rd anti-codon position. The record is from RNAcentral. Lineage: Archaea; Thermoproteati; Thermoproteota; Thermoprotei; Thermofilales; Thermofilaceae.
GCCCCGGUAGCUCAGCUCGGUAGAGCGCCGCUCUGGUAAGAACUAGUCCUCGAGAGGCGGAGGUCCCGGGUUCAAACCCCGGCCGGGGCU